UACCCCUCUCCCAUAAAGUGUAUAAUAUUUAUUUCUUUAUUUCUUUAGUCACCUGUUAAUACAAGAAUUAAAACGAACAUCCGAUAACCAUUUUAAAAUAAGAUCAAAAGCUCGAUUCAACGUCGAGUAAUCAUUUUCAAAACUUAACAGAACCAGCACGCAUUCAUCCAUCCUUUUGUAAGUCGAUUGCCUCAGGCAUCGCCAUCUACCUGUAAGUCGAUUGCCUCCGGCAUCGCCAUC
This 240-nucleotide long non-coding RNA is filed under the name Lathyrus oleraceus (garden pea). RNAcentral's name for it is "Pisum sativum (pea) long non-coding RNA (PSAT_LNC020811)". The record is from RNAcentral. Lineage: Eukaryota; Viridiplantae; Streptophyta; Magnoliopsida; Fabales; Fabaceae.